Molecule: ribosomal RNA, 403 nt
Filed under: uncultured Corynebacterium sp.
Lineage: Bacteria; Bacillati; Actinomycetota; Actinomycetes; Mycobacteriales; Corynebacteriaceae
Description: bacterial SSU rRNA
Rfam family: Bacterial small subunit ribosomal RNA
Source: RNAcentral
GGUACUCGAGUGGCGAACGGGUGAGUAACACGUGGGUGAUCUGCCCUGCACUUCGGGAUAAGCUUGGGAAACUGGGUCUAAUACCGGAUAGGAACCAUCUUUAGUGUGGUGGUUGGAAAGUUUUUUCGGUGUAGGAUGAGCUCGCGGCCUAUCAGCUUGUUGGUGGGGUAAUGGCCUACCAAGGCGGCGACGGGUAGCCGGCCUGAGAGGGUGUACGGCCACAUUGGGACUGAGAUACGGCCCAGACUCCUACGGGAGGCAGCAGUGGGGAAUAUUGCACAAUGGGCGCAAGCCUGAUGCAGCGACGCCGCGUGGGGGAUGAAGGCCUUCGGGUUGUAAACUCCUUUCGCUAGGGACGAAGCUUUGAGUGACGGUACCUAGAUAARAAGCACCGGCUAACUAC